UGGAACCCAUACUAGGCAUGAAAUACA
This 27-nucleotide non-coding RNA is filed under the name Mus musculus (house mouse). The record is from RNAcentral. Lineage: Eukaryota; Metazoa; Chordata; Mammalia; Rodentia; Muridae.